GCACAGGCGGUGAGCAUGUGGUUUAAUUCGAUGCAACGCGUAAGAACCUUACCUGGUCUUGACAUCCACGGAAGUUUUCAGAGAUGAGAAUGUGCCUUCGGGAACCGUGAGACAGGUGCUGCAUGGCUGUCGUCAGCUCGUGUUGUGAAAUGUUGGGUUAAGUCCCGCAACGAGCGUAACCCUUAUCCUUUGUUGCCAGCGGUCCGGCCGGGAACUCAAAGGAGACUGCCAGUGAUAAACUGGAGGAAGGUGGGAUGACGUCAAGUCAUCAUGGCCCUUACGACCAGGGCUACACACGUGCUACAAUGGCGCAUACAAAGAGAAGCGACCUCGCGAGAGCAAGCGGACCUCAUAAAGUGCGUCGUAGUCCGGAUUGGAGUCUGCAACUCGACUCCAUGAAGUCGGAAUCGCUAGUAAUCGUGGAUCAGAAUGCCACGGUGAAUACGUUCCCGGGCCUU
Molecule: ribosomal RNA, 458 nt
Filed under: uncultured Enterobacteriaceae bacterium
Lineage: Bacteria; Pseudomonadati; Pseudomonadota; Gammaproteobacteria; Enterobacterales; Enterobacteriaceae
Description: bacterial SSU rRNA
Rfam family: Bacterial small subunit ribosomal RNA
Source: RNAcentral